This is a long non-coding RNA of Myxocyprinus asiaticus (Chinese sucker), 5728 nucleotides long. RefSeq lists it as uncharacterized. Lineage: Eukaryota; Metazoa; Chordata; Actinopteri; Cypriniformes; Catostomidae. The transcript has 5 exons. The record is from RefSeq and is a predicted model, not a curated record.
UUCAGCCAUCAUAUGAAAAGUACGGAAACAGACUUGGUAUAUUAUCUCUUAAAUACUACAGCAUUAAAAACGCUAUGAUCAAAAGUUCUUUUGACAGGGUUUAAUGCUUAAUAAACCUCUUAAAUUUGUCAAGUUUAUUCAUUCACUGUGAUGAUGAGAUCUACAGAUGAUGCUACUGAUGGAGAUUCCUGUUCAUAUCACAUCCGCUGCCUCUCCAGAGAAAACCAUGAAUUACAUCACAUUUCAUCCUUAUCUAAAAUCUGCAUUGUACAAAACAUCUCUAACAAACUUUCAUACUUGGAAAUUAAAUAAAAUCCUUUAUGAAUGUUGAUGCACUACCUUUUUUCAAUGAAACACAGCCAGAAUAAUUUAAUUCUAGACAGGUCUAUAUUUGAGGGUAAAAUGUUAUUUUAAACAGUUGAAAUAAACACUGUGAGGACCUGCGAUCAUCUCUUGUCUCUUCUGUUGUAAUCGCACCAGCUGUCUGUUUUUCAUCCUGUCUUAAAACUACAUUUAAACCGCAAGUGUUGAAGCAUUGAGACAGGUGAGAAACUGCACGGAUCUGUUUCAUAUUAAAGACACAUCUAAGAGCAGAAAGCAUGAACACUGGACACAUGAUUAAAUAAAGAAUCGUUUGGCUAUUUACCGGUAGCGGAUUUGUACGUUCGUUCAGUUUUUUAUUUUUUAAUAUUGAAAUCAAACAAAUUUACAAACAAAUAGGCAUCAAAGUAACAUAUAUUAACAACAGGCAGACAUUGAACAUAACCAUACAGUAUGACAGCAGAAAAAAAUAAAUAAAAUAUAAAUAAAUAAAAUAAAAGAAAAAACAAAAACAAAGUAAUAGUAUGAAUAAAUGGACGAGAUUACACAAAGGCAAAAAAGAUCUACAGAGCACUCAAAUCAUUCAGUAUAUUCGCUAAUGUAGUGACUUUUUCAUUUAAGGAAAAGCGGAGGGAUGAAGCAAUAAUUUUAAGUUCGUUUAAAAAAUGAACUAAGGAUGGGAUUUUUUCAAAAAUCUACACUUGUGAAUAAAGAAUUUAGCAAUUAUAAAAAUGUUGUUGGCCAAAUAGUGUUGUGUACAUUAUUUAUUGAGUACACCAAAUCUAAUUUGCUAAUAACUAAUGCAUUCUAUCUACAGGAGUCUGCAGUUGCGUGUAAGUGUGUUUAUUUCAUUGUUUUCCUUUGUUGUAGAGUGGUAUUCAUUGCUAGACUUGUGCUGUUUGUUUACUGUCUUGAACUCGCGUCGCUUAAACGUAGGUACCAACCUUACCACUGCUGUGUGUGUCCUGUAUUGUUUUGACUUGUCCCAGGUUAUUCACUGCUAGAUUUAGCGUUGGUUGUCCAGUGUGUGUAAAACUAUAGUGGUUUUUAGUUUCUAUAAACAGUACUUCACUUGUUUUAGAGUAUUAUUUAUUGCUAAAGUGCAGCAUAAUUUAUUUGCGGUGUACGGAAGUCGCGCUUGUCACCUCACGUAACCCUUAGUUUCUGUUGACCACGUGACUAGCUUUGUUUGUUGAACGGCUCAUUAUCAUCCGUAUAUAUCUGACUUGAAUGCUGACGCGGAAGUGGUAGCCCUCCUGUGAAGACCUACUUGGGUAAAGACCAGUGAGUCUACCUGUGCGAGUUCACCGAGCAACGAUACUGACAAGGCGCCACUCACCAUAACACUUAAGUAUCUUGUUAUUGUGUCGCUUUUCUUAUUUUCCUUCUAUAUACUAACAUGUCUACUUCACAAAUAACACAUGCCUUCAAGCACAUCUCUGUUAUCUGUUACAGACUGUUUACAUGAUAUCGAUGCAAGACCAAACGCAACCCACACAACCUACGGCCACUUUGCACUUCAGCACCUGCUCCGUUCUCUUUCUCAGUGGGACUCUGGAACUGCCAGACAGCUGUGAACAAAGCUGACUUCAUUCCAGCCUUUGCCACGCAGUCCACCCUCAGCAUCCUGGCACUGACAGAAACAUGGAUACAUCCAGAGGAUAAAGCAACACCUGCUGCUCUCUCCAACAACUUCUCCUUCUCUCACACCCCUCCACACACCGGUAGGGGUGGGGGAACAGGUUUGCUUAUUCAUAAAAACUGGACUUUUUCACCACACUCUUCCCUAUGUAACAAUGCUAGUUUUUAAUUCUAUGCUAUUACUACAAUGCAACCCACAAAAAUACACGUUGUCAUCUAUCACCCUCCAGGUCAGCUGACAAACUUUCUUGAGGAGUUGGAUGUCCUGUUAUCCUCCUUGCCGGAGGAUGGUAGGCCACUUGUGGUUCUUGGUGAUUUCAACUUACACCAAGACAAGCCCCAGGCCACUGAACUGAAUGCUCUUCUGGCCUCAUUUGACUUGGCCAGCACAUGCUACACCACCCAGCCCCUGGCUGUCUGACGUCCUUGGUGAACAUCGGACUGACCUCAGGGCAGCUGAGAGGAGAUGGCGGAAAUCCAAAGAUCCAGCAGAUCUAGAACAAGCUGCUGGAUGACAAUCAGUCAGGCUUCAAAAGUGGACACUCCACCGAGACUGCCCUGCUGUCUGUCACUGAGUCGCUGAGACGGGCGAAAGCUGAAUCCAGAUCAUCCGUCCUGAUUCUGCUGGACCUUUCUGCAGCCUUUGACAGUCAACCAUCAGAUCUUACUCUCUACCCUCUCCUCGCUGGGCAUCACAGGAACUGUGCUUGACUUGUUUAAUUCCUAUCUCUCAGCCCAACGACACCACAGUGACUGCUCGAAUUUCUGCCUGCCUGGCAGACAUCUCGGCCUGGAUGAAGGAGCACCACCUGCAACUCAACCCAGCCAAGACUGAACUCCUUGUCUUUCCAGCCAACCCUGAUGUUGAACACAACAUCACCGCGCAGCUGGGUGCAACUACAGUAACGGCUUCCAAAUCGGUCAGAAAUCUAGGGGUAACCAUCGACAACAGACUAAAUUUCACAGACCACAUCUCAAAGACAGCAAAAUCAUGUAGAUUUACACUCUACAAUAUCAGGAAGAUAAGACCCUUCCUUUCUGAACAUGCCACACAACUGCUUGUCCAGUCACUUGUCAUAACUAGACUGGACUACUGUAAUGCUCUCAUUGCAGGCCUCCCUGCAUGUGCAAUUAGACCCCUUCAAAUGAUCCAGAAUGCAGCAGCCCGUCUGGUCUUUAAUGAACCAAAGAGAGCACGUUACACCACUCCUCGUCUCUCUCCACUGGCUGCCGGUUGAUGCACGUAUCAAAUUCAAGGCUCUGAUGCUGGCAUACAGAACAGUCACUGGGUCUGCUCCAGCAUACCUAAAAUCAUUUAUGCAGAGCUACGCGCCCACUAGAAGCCUGCGGUCGGCUAAGGAACGUGGCCUUGUACCUACACAUAGAGGCACCAACACUUUCCCUGACUUUCAGCUUCAUCGUACCACGUUGGUGGAACGACCUUCCCAACUCCAUCCGUGAAGCUGACUCACUCUCCGUCUUCAAAAAAUGACUAAAAACACAUCUUUUCCAUGAGCACUUAACCAGUCAUUAAGUAAAUAAAUAAAUAUUCCUGUUGCACUUUAUUCUGUUUUGAAUACUAUUAUGAUGCUAGUGAAACUUUGUAAUACAGCACUUUUCAUACCACUGUCUCCUUAAGAUGAUUCGCUUAUGAUUUCCUCUUUUGUAAGUCACUUUGGAUAAAAGCGUAUGCCAAAUGUAAAUGUGUUUACAUGACUAUUGCUGUGAGACAUUUUAUUAUACAACUGAGCCCAAAACAGCCUUGAAUAGUUACAACCAAAGAAAAUGUGCUCAGUGGAUUAAAUGUCAUUCUCACAGAAUUGACAAGAAUUUACCCCAAAACCAAAUUUUGACCUAAAGAAUUCCUUAGAUGGAUAAAUGUCAUUCAUUUUUAAAGUGAAGUUCUUUCAUUUUUGGAAAUAUUGGAAAAGUAAGGUAAUUUCAUCUUGCAACUCCUCUGACUCAGAGUUUUUGAAGAUGUAGUGAGGUCUAAGCUGACUUGAAAUCUAUCAAUGAAAACACUUCUAAUAUGUGUGUUGUCAUAUUUGUUGGUCUCUAAUAGAGUAAUCUCCCAAACACAGAGCUGGAAGAGAGAAUGUCACAGAAGAGUAUGUAAGAGUACCUUUAAUUAAUAUCACUAUGCUUUGAGGUAUGGCAUUUGCAACAGUGUAAAACUCGUUAGGAUGACAUACAAAUCCAUGUUUCAAGCAGAAGUCAUUGUUGUUGAAAACAUUAACAUGGCUGUCCAUCAUAUUGAGUAAAGAAAGGAUAUUAUACUUAAACCAGUUUUCAUAAAAUAAAGAUUUGUUACAGUGUACAAUAAAACAGUUAUUCCAAAUACAAGUCUUGUUGGGACUAAAGUUGUGAGAAAAAGCUAAUUUUCCAAUUUCCACAGAAGCACUAUCUGAUGAAAGGUGGAUAAUCUUAGAGGCAGCUUUGACAUCUCAAAAUCACAUUUUAGCAAAAACUCCAAACCACCCAGUUUUCCAAACACCGAAGAAGAGACUGCGAACCAGAAGCCAUUUUUAUUACGAAGAAAGGAUCUUAGCCAUUGAGUUUAUAAUGGACUCCGUUCAUUAUUUCUAAAUCAAUAACUUUUAAGCCCCCCUCUUCAUAGCUGCAUACCAAAACAUUUUUAUUCAUAUAGUGAUGCUUAUUUUUCCAAACAAAGUUAAAAAUAACAUUUUUACCAUCCUUUACUAAAUAAAGUGGGAUAGCUAGUGAGGAUGCUGGGUAAAUGAAUCUAGAAUGCAGUUCCACUUUGGUUAAAAGUAUUCUUCCAAAGAUUGAGAUAUCUCUUUUUAGCCAACUAAAGAGUAUAGUUUUUGCUUUUAGGAAUAUGUUCACAAAAUUCUCUUGAAUGCUAUGAUUAUUGACUUUAGUAAUAGUUACACCUAAAUAUUUUACAGAGGUUUUAACAGGGAUAUUAAAUAAAGAGUUGGAGUCGCAACCAUGAAUUGCAAUUAGUUCGCAUUUGUUUAUAUUUAGGUGUAGACCAGAUGCAUAGCUUUAUCAAUCUGGUGUUUGUCCUUUAAAGUGCAGUAUGUAAGAUUCAGACAGAUGCCAGGGGAGGGGAAGAGCAGGAGCCGAUUAUGUCAUGGAAGAGGACAGACUCCAGGUCAGUCAGCUGACUGCUGCCAGGACAGCAGAGAUGCAGAGAGAAUUGCAACAACUGUCCCAGGAAGAGAGGGAUGAAGUUCUGCAGAUGGUGGUCACACGUCUGCCAGGGGUUUUUCUGGACAUUAUGGAUUACCGGAGAACAACAACAGGAGCAUAUGUUCAAAACAGGGGACAACCUGCAUGGUGCACCUGCGUGAACUGCCGGCUUAUGCCGACAGAUUUAGAAAACAAAUGUUGUGGUCAAAAUCCAGAGAGGUGUCUCAGCAGGAAGGCCCAUAUGGAACUUUAUUGUCUUGAUGAGGGCAUCCUACGUUUGGCUAGACAGACAUGGAAUGACAUUCUUGCACUCACUGACAGACGGGACCCAAGGGUAGAUAACAGAGAGUAUCGAUACUCUGCAUAUCACCAGUUCACCAUCUGGCAACAUGGACGUCUGGUAACUGGGAACAGGGUGGUAAUACAGAGCUGCUGCAUGUGGCAAUUAAGAGAAAUUCCCUGACCCCUUUAGCAACCAUGUUGGCUACAAGGAAGCACCAUUUAGGUGAAAUUAAAAACUGUGUGUGGUGUUUCUGUGUAAAUUUUUCCAACAUAAAAAAAUAAAUAAUAAUAUUUGUUCUUCACUGUAUUUUAUUUUAUAUAAGUAAAA